AUACUCUGGUUUCUCUUCAAAUUGUAUAAAUCUUUCGCCUUUUACUAAAGAUUUCCAUGGAAAAAUAAGUUAAUGAAAGGAAUGCCCUACGUUUAGAAUAUAUAAAUGUAUACAU
Molecule: small nuclear RNA, 115 nt
Organism: Rhinolophus ferrumequinum (greater horseshoe bat)
Lineage: Eukaryota; Metazoa; Chordata; Mammalia; Chiroptera; Rhinolophidae
Gene: U5
Rfam family: U5 spliceosomal RNA
About the family: U5 RNA is a component of both types of known spliceosome.
Source: Ensembl